This 471-nucleotide ribosomal RNA is filed under the name uncultured bacterium. Its description in RNAcentral is "bacterial SSU rRNA". It matches the Rfam family "Bacterial small subunit ribosomal RNA", at positions 329 to 793 of the family's 1533-position model. The record is from RNAcentral.
CGCUAUCAUCCUACGGGAGGCAGCAGUGGGGAAUAUUGCACAAUGGGCGCAAGCCUGAUGCAGCCAUGCCGCGUGUAUGAAGAAGGCCUUCGGGUUGUAAAGUACUUUCAGCAGUGAGGAAGGCGGGUACGUUAAUAGCGUGCUUGUUUGACGUUAGCUGCAGAAGAAGCACCGGCUAACUCCGUGCCAGCAGCCGCGGUAAUACGGAGGGUGCGAGCGUUAAUCGGAAUUACUGGGCGUAAAGCGCAUGCAGGUGGUUUGUUAAGUCAGAUGUGAAAGCCCGGGGCUCAACCUCGGAAUUGCAUUUGAAACUGGCAGACUAGAGUACUGUAGAGGGGGUAGAAUUUCAGGUGUAGCGGUGAAAUGCGUAGAGAUCUGAAGGAAUACCAGUGGCGAAGGCGGCCCCCUGGACAGAUACUGACACUCAGAUGCGAAAGCGUGGGGAGCAAACAGGAUUAGAUACCCUGGUAG